Trichomycterus rosablanca is the source of this 324-nucleotide long non-coding RNA. RefSeq lists it as uncharacterized. NCBI's taxonomy places the organism in Eukaryota, Metazoa, Chordata, Actinopteri, Siluriformes, Trichomycteridae. The transcript has 3 exons. The record is from RefSeq and is a predicted model, not a curated record.
AAUAAAUGAACAUGAAAUAAAUAAACAAAUAAAGCUUGUUUUAAUGGACUGGAUCAGAUUCCAGGAGAACAAACACACCUGAGCUGAGUCGAAGAAACUGAACUGCUACCCAAACAAACGCACAGGCUGGCCAGGAGGUAUUGGAAUACACCAAGAGGACGUCACUGAGGCUGAGACCUGUUGAGAGGAGUGUGACUGGACCGGGCGGCUGUCUGAUUUGGACCGACUCCUCAGGGUACCAGGUGAUAAAUGGGCUAGCAGGCGCUGGAGGGAGGGACGACAGGGUCCUUAGUUGGUGCCGACCUCUGCUGGCUGGUCGAGACA